GUUGUAAUGUGAGGUGGCCCUAUAUAAGGUCUGGCGGUGGUAGACCGCAGGGCUUAUUUUUGAGUCCUGCGGUCUGUUUCUAAUCUAAUACAGGAAAAGAGAGAGCUUGGAAGCGGAGAUAGGAGGAAGAACAGGUUAGCUGGUGGAUGCUUACUUAGCUUAGAGGGAGAUGAAGAGGGAGUAGUGGAAGCCCACCAAGUAAUAUGAGAGACACAAGAGAAAAUGUGCUGCCAUUAUAGACAAAUUGCAAACUGGGGCUGAAAGGAAGAGUGUAGAAGUGAACUCCCUAGUAUGGGCAAGAAAUGAGACUUCCUUGCAAGGUAUGUGUAAAAAACUCAAUAUAAAGUGGGUCAGUCCAUACCAUGUAGUGAAAGUGUUGAGGAACAGUGUCCAUACAAACUUGAGAAAGUAAAACCAUAUUGGGGGAGUGGUGAGUGGAAGAUGGAAUCCCCCUGACAAAUUAGAGUGCCAGAGACUCAGAAAGAGGAAGCACCUGCCAGAAUAAUAAGAUCUCCAAGGAAAUAUGUUCUCGUAGAAGAGUGCUAUGUUAGUUGUAAGUUGUAAGAGUAGGUGGUGGUGGAUGUUAGGUUAGGAUGAUUCUCAGCAGACACCAUCUCUGAAAGAGAGAGUACAAAAGGAAGAAAAAGAUAUGAUCAUACUAUAUUUAUAACAAAAAUGGUCCUCCUAUUGAGGAAUGUUCAGAGACCAUUUACUGAGGAUAGAGCUAAGUGCCAAACCACACAUCUCCCCAGGAGUGAGUCUUCAGGACAACGGAACCAUUAGGCAACCCUGAAGGAUUACCAACUGGGUAACUGUAUUCUUUUUGUUUUGGGCAAUCGAUCAUUACUUAUUUUUGUGCAUUAGAAAGUCUGGAUUUAUUCAUCAUUAUAUUUUUAGGGAUCCAACAGAGCCAUAUGUCCACUCUGAGAGAGAUGGUUCUCUCUUGAUUGAGAGGGCCACUCUAUCUGUACUAAAAAUAAAAAAAGGGAUGAGAGAUAGGUCACUGGAUCUUGGGAGAUGUGUUUCAACUGAUCACAAGACCUCAGUUGUUAAGGUCUAAUAUGAAGAAUGUGCAAGAGAGAAAAGAGAAACUGAGAAGAGUAUGAGAGAAGGUAGAUCACUAAACACCAUACCAGACUGAAAUUUUUUUAUAUGUAAGCUAUAUGAUAACUUUGAUUUGGUUGACAUUGUUAUUUUUUACAUUUUUAUAUGUUUCAUAUCGAUAUCUCUAGGUUACGGCAUAUCUUGUGAAAGUAAUUUUUUUAAACCCCAAUGGUGUAGCCAUGUCAUGAGACAAAAAAUAAAGAAAAUUAAAUUAAAGAGAGGGGAAACAGAAGAUAACAUCAUUCAGUAAUGAUCACAUAAAAUAAUUUUGACAAUGUCCAAAAGGAACAAUAAUGUCCCUAAGUAUUUUUUUUCUGGGGGGAAGGGAGAUUUCAAAAUGUAAUUUUGUAUAUAUUUAAGAGAUCAGUAAGAACUUAGAAAAAGGAUACUAAAUGAAAUUCUAAUCUAGAAAUUGAGAAAAUAUUUAUAUAUUUGAAUUGAGAAUUUGACUUGGUGCAGAAGAAUACAUCAUCCCUACUGAUGCCUGUAAUAUGUGAGAACCAGAAAACCAGUGUUCCCAGCUUUUGUUAAACAAAUCAAAUAAAAAAAAUCCCUUUCACAAGAUGCUAUAGAUUAAGUAGAAACUUGUAGGAAAUGACAACUUUAUGUAGUUAUGGAGAAAUUCUGGCAGUAUGUGGGGCCAUUAACUAAGAUGUUCAAGAACAAUCUUGAGAGCAGAGAAAUGGUAUAAACUUUUAGGGACACUGAAAAAUAUUUAUUAUUAAUCAUGGCAGAGGAACUAUAUUGUAAUGUGUAGCAGUCCUAUAGCAGUAACACAUGGUCAUGGAAACAUGAGUAGUGGGGGAGAGGACACUAAGUUGACUCCACUCUGCCACUUGCCACCAUAUGUACAAGUUGAAUUCUUUUUGUUUUGUAUAUGGUACUAUUCUGUCGUGUAGCCAUGAUGAUCAAGAAUGUCAGUGUGUGCAGAGGGUACCAGGGAAAGACAGUAAUACUAGGUUGCUGUAUAUUAUAUAAUAACUGGUGACACGGAAAGUGCCAGCCCACUAGCAUCCACUUUGACGCAGAGAUGGAUGCUGACUGCUGAGGAGUGCAUGGACAAUGCAAGAGACAAUGGCAAGAUGGAUGACUGAGGACGCUCGGUUCCCACCUAAAGUGUCAGAAAGUGGCAAAAGUGCAUGGCAGUGUCGGAACUGGGACAUGCUAGUAGUUAUUAUUACUAGUACUACAACAAUUAUCAUCACCACUACUGUGACAGGAAGUGUGCAGCACUAUAUUGCAUAGAAAAAGCCAUGUGCAUGAAAAAGAUCAGAACAAAAGCACUGGCAUUCUGGGUCCUGACAACUUCCAUAUUCUGACACAUUACUGACCAUACAUUUAAAUGCUAUUUCUGUGAUGUUCAUGAUAAUAGAUGCCUCCUCUCUUCCACCCUCAACCCUAUCCCCCCCAUUCAGUUGUCCCAUAUGUUGUGAGCUUUAUAUAGUAUUUCACUUUCACAUGUGACCCCACAAUAUCAUGAUUCACAGUGAGGUUUGCUAGCCAUCAGUACCUUCAUCUGUGAGUGUGCUGCUUAUAUAUUGCAAGUUUACCAGUAAGCCUAUCUAUUAACUGCAUUAUAUUUUUUUAUAUAGAUAGCCUUGUUUGCUCUCAUAUGAACAUUUCUAAAUGGAUUCUAGCAGGAACCUUAGUUUGUAAUGAUUGCCUGGUAGAGGAAUCACUCCAUGGACAACAGACUGUCUGGUGUGUUUGCUUGACCUGCAUCAUAAAGUUUGUCUGUAGACAGAGGCACUGUCUCUGUCACCAAUGACAUUUCUUGCUUCUGUCUGCAGAUAGUGUAUGCUUGUUUGGACAGGCCUUUACUGAUUCUGGUUGGAUCACUUCUCUGAGCUACUUGAAGGGUGGAGACCAAAGUAAGAGUUAGAUAGAAUAUUUAUUUACAAGAUUGACUCCCUGGAUUAUAUAUAUUUUAACUACUACCAAAUAACAAUAUCAUAACAAUACUGUCUUAGUCAAAAUUAUGCAAAUAGUUUCACAUCCACUAACCUUUUUUCAUCAUUGUAAUUUCGUAUUCAGAUGUUUGAUUAUUCCAAUUAAAACAAUACAACUGAUAAAUUAUGGUAAAAAAGUAAAUUACAUGCAUUACUUGAAUGAUACUUUUCAAAAUCCAUCCACUUCACCUGCUUUCCUAAAAUCAGAAUUAGCAUAAAUUUUUCCAUUCUGACGUGCAAUGCCACAGAUCACUGAUCCACCGACGCUGAACUUCUUCACCUCAUGGCCAAGUUCCUUCAGACCCUCAGUAAUUUUCUGAAAGAAAUACAUUCUGCAGUCUUGUUUGUUUAGUGCAUGUAGAGACUUUCAAAGCUGCUAUAAAGAUAUAUUCCAAUUUUCUACUAAAAGAAGAAAAAUUGUUACUUUUGCUCUCUCUCUCUCUCUCUCUCUCUCUCUCUCUCUCUCUCUCUCUCUCUCUCUCUCUCUCUCUCUCUCUCUCUCUCUCUCUCUC
Molecule: long non-coding RNA, 3565 nt
Organism: Scylla paramamosain (green mud crab)
Lineage: Eukaryota; Metazoa; Arthropoda; Malacostraca; Decapoda; Portunidae
Exons: 2
Source: RefSeq, a predicted model, not a curated record